RNAcentral lists this ribosomal RNA (1554 nucleotides) under Staphylococcus aureus. RNAcentral's name for it is "16S ribosomal RNA". It matches the Rfam family "Bacterial small subunit ribosomal RNA". Lineage: Bacteria; Bacillati; Bacillota; Bacilli; Caryophanales; Staphylococcaceae. The record is from RNAcentral.
UUUAUGGAGAGUUUGAUCCUGGCUCAGGAUGAACGCUGGCGGCGUGCCUAAUACAUGCAAGUCGAGCGAACGGACGAGAAGCUUGCUUCUCUGAUGUUAGCGGCGGACGGGUGAGUAACACGUGGAUAACCUACCUAUAAGACUGGGAUAACUUCGGGAAACCGGAGCUAAUACCGGAUAAUAUUUUGAACCGCAUGGUUCAAAAGUGAAAGACGGUCUUGCUGUCACUUAUAGAUGGAUCCGCGCUGCAUUAGCUAGUUGGUAAGGUAACGGCUUACCAAGGCAACGAUGCAUAGCCGACCUGAGAGGGUGAUCGGCCACACUGGAACUGAGACACGGUCCAGACUCCUACGGGAGGCAGCAGUAGGGAAUCUUCCGCAAUGGGCGAAAGCCUGACGGAGCAACGCCGCGUGAGUGAUGAAGGUCUUCGGAUCGUAAAACUCUGUUAUUAGGGAAGAACAUAUGUGUAAGUAACUGUGCACAUCUUGACGGUACCUAAUCAGAAAGCCACGGCUAACUACGUGCCAGCAGCCGCGGUAAUACGUAGGUGGCAAGCGUUAUCCGGAAUUAUUGGGCGUAAAGCGCGCGUAGGCGGUUUUUUAAGUCUGAUGUGAAAGCCCACGGCUCAACCGUGGAGGGUCAUUGGAAACUGGAAAACUUGAGUGCAGAAGAGGAAAGUGGAAUUCCAUGUGUAGCGGUGAAAUGCGCAGAGAUAUGGAGGAACACCAGUGGCGAAGGCGACUUUCUGGUCUGUAACUGACGCUGAUGUGCGAAAGCGUGGGGAUCAAACAGGAUUAGAUACCCUGGUAGUCCACGCCGUAAACGAUGAGUGCUAAGUGUUAGGGGGUUUCCGCCCCUUAGUGCUGCAGCUAACGCAUUAAGCACUCCGCCUGGGGAGUACGACCGCAAGGUUGAAACUCAAAGGAAUUGACGGGGACCCGCACAAGCGGUGGAGCAUGUGGUUUAAUUCGAAGCAACGCGAAGAACCUUACCAAAUCUUGACAUCCUUUGACAACUCUAGAGAUAGAGCCUUCCCCUUCGGGGGACAAAGUGACAGGUGGUGCAUGGUUGUCGUCAGCUCGUGUCGUGAGAUGUUGGGUUAAGUCCCGCAACGAGCGCAACCCUUAAGCUUAGUUGCCAUCAUUAAGUUGGGCACUCUAAGUUGACUGCCGGUGACAAACCGGAGGAAGGUGGGGAUGACGUCAAAUCAUCAUGCCCCUUAUGAUUUGGGCUACACACGUGCUACAAUGGACAAUACAAAGGGCAGCGAAACCGCGAGGUCAAGCAAAUCCCAUAAAGUUGUUCUCAGUUCGGAUUGUAGUCUGCAACUCGACUACAUGAAGCUGGAAUCGCUAGUAAUCGUAGAUCAGCAUGCUACGGUGAAUACGUUCCCGGGUCUUGUACACACCGCCCGUCACACCACGAGAGUUUGUAACACCUGAAGCCGGUGGAGUAACCUUUUAGGAGCUAGCCGUCGAAGGUGGGACAAAUGAUUGGGGUGAAGUCGUAACAAGGUAGCCGUAUCGGAAGGUGCGGCUGGAUCACCUCCUUUCU